GAUGAACGCUGGCGGCGUGCCUAAUACAUGCGAGUCGAGCGAACAGACGAGGAGCUUGCUCCUCUGACGUUAGCGGCGGACGGGUGAGUAACACGUGGAUAACCUACCUAUAAGACUGGGAUAACUUCGGGAAACCGGAGCUAAUACCGGAUAAUAUAUUGAACCGCAUGGUUCAAUAGUGAAAGACGGUUUUGCUGUCACUUAUAGAUGGAUCCGCGCCGCAUUAGCUAGUUGGUAAGGUAACGGCUUACCAAGGCGACGAUGCGUAGCCGACCUGAGAGGGUGAUCGGCCACACUGGAACUGAGACACGGUCCAGACUCCUACGGGAGGCAGCAGUAGGGAAUCUUCCGCAAUGGGCGAAAGCUUGACGGAGCAACGCUGCGUGAGUGAUGAAGGUCUUCGGAUCGUAAAACUCUGUUAUUAGGGAAGAACAAAUGUGUAAGUAACUAUGCACGUCUUGACGGUACCUAAUCAGAAAGCCACGGCUAACUACGUG
Molecule: ribosomal RNA, 497 nt
Filed under: uncultured bacterium
Lineage: Bacteria
Description: partial 16S ribosomal RNA
Rfam family: Bacterial small subunit ribosomal RNA
Source: RNAcentral